RNAcentral lists this long non-coding RNA (174 nucleotides) under Coturnix japonica (Japanese quail). Its description in RNAcentral is "lncRNA (ENSCJPG00005009880.1)". Lineage: Eukaryota; Metazoa; Chordata; Aves; Galliformes; Phasianidae. The record is from RNAcentral.
UAAAAAAAGAAAACUUUAGAAAUAAAUUCGGAGAAACUAUGCAGGAAUGAGACUGAAGCUGAAUAGGCACCUGGCAGCCAAUCAAGAUCAACCCAUCACAAUGGCUUGAAACCCUAAGUCUUACUAUCAAAGCCAUCUUUUAACAACAUAAUCUGAACUCUUUGGUCUUCUGCC